This 88-nucleotide non-coding RNA is filed under the name Cohnella sp. RNAcentral's name for it is "c-di-GMP sequence". It matches the Rfam family "c-di-GMP-I riboswitch aptamer". From Rfam's summary of the family: GEMM was predicted in a large-scale screen for bacterial structured RNA regulatory elements. Genes associated with GEMM are involved in a diverse array of functions, including chemotaxis regulation, signal transduction, secretion and chitin. The record is from RNAcentral. Lineage: Bacteria; Bacillati; Bacillota; Bacilli; Caryophanales; Paenibacillaceae.
UCUCGAUAAAGGCAAAGCCGGUGAAAAUCGGUGACGCAAAGCUACAGGGGCUAAGACGCGCAAGCGUUAUUGCCAGCCAGCUGCCGAA